UUAAAUGAGAAAUAGUAAAAUACACAUGAUUUCAGUUGAAAUUUCAGCAAAAUCGGCGAGAUUUUUAAAAAAUAUUGAAUAACGUGGCAGUAUUGAACGGAACUUCGAAGAGUGAACUUUAAUUGUGAGUUUAGUUAGUUGCAGUUAAUGUAAAUCAAAAAUUAGCAACAAUAAAAAUAACGCAAAAAAAUUAAAAAAUAGUGCAAACAAAUUAAAACAAGUGCAAAUAAAUUAUAAAACAAUGUAAACAAUUUCAAAAGAAAUAAAGAAAAUUGUUACAAAAAUUAAAAAAAAUAUUUUAGAGGUUUGUAAUUCUCAAAAUAUGGACGUUGGGGCUUCUUUUGUCUAUUUGGUGAAAAAAGGUAUUAAUAAGGAUGUUGCAGAAAUUUUGAGAAAUUGCAAAACUGAAAACAUUGAUUCCUCCAGAACAAAACUUCAAUCGUAUAAAAUAUUUAAUGAACGAGACAUUUUAAAAUCGUAGAUUUGAAGUUGGAUAUUUAAACAUAUUGGAUACUUACCUAACAUUUCUUUCCUACAAGGGCACAAUUGUAAAAAUCGCAAACUAAUUUAUGAGUGCUUUUUAAAAGUUGCUUUUAAUUUCUAGAUUGAAAAUGGAUUGGAGCUCUUAAAAGGAAGGAAACAGAAUUUCUCCAAUAUGAAUCUUGCUGCCAAGAAGAAAUUUGAAAAAAAAAACUAAUGUUUUGAUUGCGAUAAAUUUAGAUGAUUGGGAAAAACUUGUUGCAGAGGAAGAUUUAAUAUCCCUCGUUUUAGAAAUUUAUGUGAGAUAUAAGAACUGCUUUGACCUUUCUUUAUGGAGUGCGCAAACGAUUUUCUUACAGUAAACAUUAUCUUUUUCUUGUAAUUUAAAAUUUGAUAAAAAAAUUUUGAAGUUGUUAAAUUUUUUCGAAGUUUAUAUAUACAAAAUGAAAAAUGUAAAAUGGUACUGUUUCGGUGUUAUAUUAAAAAAUUAUA
Condylostylus longicornis is the source of this 972-nucleotide long non-coding RNA. RefSeq lists it as uncharacterized. The record is from RefSeq and is a predicted model, not a curated record. Lineage: Eukaryota; Metazoa; Arthropoda; Insecta; Diptera; Dolichopodidae. The transcript has 5 exons.